UACGUAGGGAGCAAGCGUUGUCCGGAAUCAUCGGGCGUAAAGCGCGCGUAGGUGGCCUCAUAAGUCCGCUGUGAAAGUCAAAGGCUCAACCUUUGAAAGCCGGUGGAUACUGUGAGGCUAGAGUACGGAAGAGGCGAGUGGAAUUCCUGGUGUAGCGGUGGAAUGCGCAGAUAUCAGGAGGAACACCAAUAGCGAAGGCAGCGCGCUGGGACGUUACUGACACUGAGGCGCGAAAGCGUGGGGAGCGAACAGG
RNAcentral lists this ribosomal RNA (253 nucleotides) under uncultured bacterium. RNAcentral's name for it is "partial 16S ribosomal RNA". It matches the Rfam family "Bacterial small subunit ribosomal RNA", at positions 524 to 776 of the family's 1533-position model. The record is from RNAcentral.